AAGUAGUUUAAGUUGUGUGCAAGUGGUAGGAGAGCGUUCUAUUUGCGUCGAAGGUAUACCGGUAAGGAGUGCUGGAGCGAAUAGAAGUGAGCAUGCAGGCAUGAGUAGCGAUAAUUAAUGUGAGAAUCAUUAACGCCGUAAACCCAAGGUUUCCUACGCGAUGCUCGUCAUCGUAGGGUUAGUCGGGUCCUAAGUCGAGUCCGAAAGGGGUAGACGAUGGCAAAUUGGUUAAUAUUCCAAUACCAACAUUAGUGUGCGAUGGAAGGACGCUUAGGGCUAAGGGGGCUAGCGGAUGGAAGUGCUAGUCUAAGGUCGUAGGAGGUUAUACAGGCAAAUCCGUAUAACAAUACUCCGAGAACUGAAAGGCUUUUUGAAGUCUUCGGAUGGAUAGAAGAACCCCUGAUGCCGUCGAGCCAAGAAAAGUUUCUAAGUUUAGCUAAUGUUGCCCGUACCGUAAACCGACACAGGUGGGUGGGAUGAGUAUUCUAAGGCGCGUGGAAGAACUCUCUUUAAGGAACUCUGCAAAAUAGCACCGUAUCUUCGGUAUAAGGUGUGGUUAGCUUCGUACUAGGAUUUACUCCGAAAGCGAAGAAACUUACAACAAAGAGUCCCUCCCGACUGUUUACCAAAAACACAGCACUCUGCUAACUCGUAAGAGGAUGUAUAGGGUGUGACGCCUGCCCGGUGCUCGAAGGUUAAUUGAUGGGGUUAGCAUUAGCGAAGCUCUUGAUCGAAGCCCGAGUAAACGGCGGCCGUAACUAUAACGGUCCUAAGGUAGCGAAAUUCCUUGUCGGUUAAAUACCGACCUGCAUGAAUGGCGUAACGAGAUGGGAGCUGUCUCAAAGAGGGAUCCAGUGAAAUUGUAGUGGAGGUGAAAAUUCCUCCUACCCGCGGCAAGACGGAAAGACCCCGUGGACCUUUACUACAGCUUGACACUGCUACUUGGAUAAGAAUGUGCAGGAUAGGUGGGAGGCUUUGAGUAUAUGACGCCAGUUGUAUAUGAGCCAUUGUUGAGAUACCACUCUUUCUUAUUUGGGUAGCUAACCAGCUUGAGUUAUCCUCAAGUGGGACAAUGUCUGGUGGGUAGUUUGACUGGGGCGGUCGCCUCCCAAAUAAUAACGGAGGCUUACAAAGGUUGGCUCAGAACGGUUGGAAAUCGUUCGUAGAGUAUAAAGGUAUAAGCCAGCUUAACUGCAAGACAUACAAGUCAAGCAGAGACGAAAGUCGGUCUUAGUGAUCCGGUGGUUCUGUGUGGAAGGGCCAUCGCUCAAAGGAUAAAAGGUACCCCGGGGAUAACAGGCUGAUCUCCCCCAAGAGCUCACAUCGACGGGGAGGUUUGGCACCUCGAUGUCGGCUCAUCGCAUCCUGGGGCUGGAGCAGGUCCCAAGGGUAUGGCUGUUCGCCAUUUAAAGCGGUACGCGAGCUGGGUUCAGAACGUCGUGAGACAGUUCGGUCCCUAUCUGCCGUGGGCGUAAGAAGAUUGAAGAGAUUUGACCCUAGUACGAGAGGACCGGGUUGAACAAACCACUGGUGUAGCUGUUGUUCUGCCAAGAGCAUCGCAGCGUAGCUAAGUUUGGAAAGGAUAAACGCUGAAAGCAUCUAAGCGUGAAGCCAACUCUAAGAUGAAUCUUCUCUAAGCUCUCUAGAAGACUACUAGUUUGAUAGGCUGGGUGUGUAAUGGAUGAAAGUCCUUUAGCUGACCAGUACUAAUAGAGCGUUUGGCUUAUCU
RNAcentral lists this ribosomal RNA (1729 nucleotides) under Campylobacter jejuni. Its description in RNAcentral is "bacterial LSU rRNA". It matches the Rfam family "Bacterial large subunit ribosomal RNA", at positions 1197 to 2925 of the family's 2925-position model. The record is from RNAcentral. Lineage: Bacteria; Pseudomonadati; Campylobacterota; Epsilonproteobacteria; Campylobacterales; Campylobacteraceae.